CAGUUGUUCCUGUCAUUUUGAAAGCACUAACAUACGAUGAGAAGAGAGGGGCCUGCAGCGUGGGCUCCAACGUGAGAGACGCAGCGUGCUACGUGUGCUGGGCCUUCGCUCGCGCCUAUGAGCCCUCCGAACUGAUCCCAUUUAUUAAUCAGAUUUCAAGUGCGUUGGUCAUCGCUGCAGUAUUUGAUCGCGAUGUUAACUGCCGAAGAGCUGCUUCUGCUGCCUUCCAGGAGAAUGUCGGGCGACAGGGCACUUUUCCACAUGGCAUAGACAUCCUCACUGCAGCCGAUUAUUUUGCUGUGGGUAACAGAGCUAACUGCUACCUU
This is a non-coding RNA of Tinamus guttatus (white-throated tinamou), 326 nucleotides long. The record is from RefSeq and is a predicted model, not a curated record. NCBI's taxonomy places the organism in Eukaryota, Metazoa, Chordata, Aves, Tinamiformes, Tinamidae.